AUUGAACGCUGGCGGCAUGCCUUACACAUGCAAGUCGAACGGCAGCACGGGAGCAAUCCUGGUGGCGAGUGGCGAACGGGUGAGUAAUAUAUCGGAACGUGCCCAGUCGUGGGGGAUAACGUAGCGAAAGCUACGCUAAUACCGCAUACGAUCUACGGAUGAAAGCGGGGGAUCGCAAGACCUCGCGCGAUUGGAGCGGCCGAUAUCAGAUUAGCUAGUUGGUGGGGUAAAAGCUCACCAAGGCGACGAUCUGUAGCUGGUCUGAGAGGACGACCAGCCACACUGGAACUGAGACACGGUCCAGACUCCUACGGGAGGCAGCAGUGGGGAAUUUUGGACAAUGGGCGCAAGCCUGAUCCAGCAAUGCCGCGUGCAGGAUGAAGGCCUUCGGUUGUAACUGCUUUGUACGGAACGAAACGGUGAGCUCUAAUAAAGCUUGCUAAUGACGGUACCGUAAGAAUAAGCACCGGCUAACUACGUGCC
RNAcentral lists this ribosomal RNA (483 nucleotides) under uncultured bacterium. Its description in RNAcentral is "bacterial SSU rRNA". It matches the Rfam family "Bacterial small subunit ribosomal RNA", at positions 30 to 509 of the family's 1533-position model. The record is from RNAcentral.